This 68-nucleotide transfer RNA is filed under the name Euparatettix variabilis. Its description in RNAcentral is "tRNA-Ser". It matches the Rfam family "tRNA". Rfam says of the family: Transfer RNA (tRNA) molecules are approximately 80 nucleotides in length. Lineage: Eukaryota; Metazoa; Arthropoda; Insecta; Orthoptera; Tetrigidae. The record is from RNAcentral.
AGUUAAUAAGCUAUAAUAGCAUAUGUUUUGAAAACAUAAUACUAGAAGUUCAAAUCUUCUAUUAGCUU